RNAcentral lists this ribosomal RNA (207 nucleotides) under uncultured bacterium. Its description in RNAcentral is "partial 16S ribosomal RNA". It matches the Rfam family "Bacterial small subunit ribosomal RNA", at positions 568 to 774 of the family's 1533-position model. The record is from RNAcentral.
CGCGUAGGCGGCCUGUUAAGUCGAACGUGAAAUCCCUGGGCUCAACCCAGGAACUGCGUCCGAUACUGGCUGGCUUGAAUCCGGGAGAGGGAUGCGGAAUUCCAGGUGUAGCGGUGAAAUGCGUAGAUAUCUGGAGGAACACCGGUGGCGAAGGCGGCAUCCUGGACCGGUAUUGACGCUGAGGCGCGAAAGCCAGGGGAGCAAACG